GGCCUUUCUAUUAUGUGUAUGAAGACGCUUACUCUGUUGUUGGAUACUCAGCGAUCCAAUUCUUCAACCCUUUGCAACACUGCCUUGAGAAAACAAUACAGAGGGAGAACAAAUAAACCCGUGCUCUUAAAAGAGUUGAAGACAUAUAUAUAACGGGCAAUUUAUUUAUUUAUGGUACUAUAUGAUAGUUUUAUUGAAGACUCCUAGUAGAAUUAUAAUAAUUGAAUAUGGUAUGUUGGUUUGC
Molecule: long non-coding RNA, 244 nt
Filed under: Elaeis guineensis (African oil palm)
Lineage: Eukaryota; Viridiplantae; Streptophyta; Magnoliopsida; Arecales; Arecaceae
Description: long non-coding RNA (EGUI_LNC060137)
Source: RNAcentral